UACGGGGGUCUCGCUGAGCUUACGGUAUAUAUUAGUUACCGUGUCUGUUUUAUUUUGGGUCUUGUUUUGGGCCUAUUUUGGGUCCAGUCUGUUUGGUUGUAUAUAUAUACACCUUAUUUUAGUCUGUAAACCAUUCCGAUUACAACCCUAAUAAAAUUUGGUUUCCUCCAAGUUGUUCUUGUCUUUUCUUGUUUGUUCUUCUGUUCCGCUGCAUCUGUUAUAACACCAGAUUAUGCUGCAAAGUUCCUAAGAAAAAAAAAAUGAUUAUACAUACUAUUGAAUUCAUGAUACGUUAGUUAUUACUACCAUUAAUAUAAAUAUCUUUAUUUAUUGGACACUCAUUAACACACCUAUAUUUCACCCAACCUAUCAUGUAUAUAUAUACUACUUUUUCUUGCAUUUAUAUAUUUUUUCUAAUUAAUCCCCUUGCAUUUAUAUAUUUUUCCUAAUUAGUCUUGUAUUUUUAAAAAUAUAAUAUUUGAAAUAUAUUUUAACGAGUACCCGUAAGGGACCUAUUAAAUAAACCAUUAUUUAUUAGGAUGCAACGCAUGAACGUUAAUCACUCUAUUAUAUAUCCCGUAUAGAUUACUAUUAUUUGAAAUUUUUUUAAAAAAAUAUACUGUAACGAUUUAAUGCAUGUUAGGUGCAAAAAUAAAGAAAAAAUAAAUUCACAAAAAAUCUAAAAAUAUUUUGAGAAAAAAUGAUAAUCCAAACAAGGUCGUCGAUCAUAGAACACAUACAUAUUGAAUCAUAUUGAUAGCCAGAAACUUCAACCAUCCUUUAUUUCUGAUUAUCUUUUCCACCAUUUGUUGUCCCCAAACUCAUGCGUGUGGCUUUCUCGUCAUGCCUCCAAAUUGGAACAACAGAUCGAGUGGAAAUUAUUAUGCUUCCCAGUAGGCGUAGGCGUAGCUAACAGAGACUAUUUCCGAUGAGUAAGACUAAGAUCCCAUCUGUACGAAAGGGCAGACAAUGAGUUACAUGAAAUAUUGAGUCGGGAUUUUGCCACUAAUACGACAAAAAAUACACAGACAAACAUUUCUAGUAGGAGUAGACUACGUAUUUCUUACGCAAUCUUCAAAGAGAGAACUUUUCAUAUAACUGAAACAAGGGUUAAUAAAACAAGAAGAAGAAGAAGAAGAAGAAGAAUAAAACUAUGCACCAUCCAUCAAAAUGCUUUACCGGUGAACAGUAUUGCCAAAGCAGUCGCCUUGGCUUGAAGAUAACUUAUUCGUAUUCAAUUUAGUUAGUAAGUCCUUCUGGGUCAGGAUUCAGGCCCAUCUGUAAAAUAGCGGUGCUUUAUUUUAUUUUGUGGUGGCUCACCACUUAUCAACCACCACUGCAUUGUUAAUUUGUGCCUGACAAAGCUUGUUGGACACUUGCUUCUUCAGAGUAAGAUACGCAUGCAAAGCUUCAAGCAGGAUACCCUUGUGGGCAUGGUCUCAAAGUUGCAAUUCUUGCUGUUGUGUCACCAUAGCCUUUGGCGAUGCCAUUAAGAAAUUUUUGGCCCCAGUUCUCUCUCCACUUCACUCAGCUAGUUACAUUCAUAAGCACUAACCAAUACUUCAAAAAAAAAAAAAAAAAAAACCAAAACACUGGGUUACUUUUUCACUUCUCUCAGUCAUCUCUGUAGCCGCCAAAGGCAAAACAAAAUGGGGGAAGUUGCUGCUUUAUGAUAUCUAAAGGUCUUUGAUCAUAGAUGAUAGAACACAAGUGCUUUAAAUUUCCAGGGAGUCUUGAAUAUGGUGCGUACCACGUAUUUGCGUCUGCAAGUGUCCAACCAUGUAGCUGGUACUUGCUGUAUUGCUGGCAUGAAUUUAAGGAAGCCUUUUGCUUCCCAUAACUAAUGUACGGAUGCGAUGUCGUGUUUCUUUAACUGAGCGAGUUUCAGUACAUAACCUACCCCACCACUCUUAAGAUUUGAGCUUCCAGCCUCCCUCGUCCUGCAGAACAACCUUCCCCACCUCUCUACGGCUUAUUGAGGGAGAGCAGAGCAGAGGAUGUGAUGCGAGAUUUUACAUUGCAAGUAUGCUGCGAAUAAGAAAUGGGAAACGAUCAGAGAAUAAGAGAAUAAACAAAAUACUAACAAUUUCUCCACAAGCCGCCUGGGGACUCGAAAUGAUUUAUACAUAAAAAAUCGUGUAAAAAGAUUCUAUAAUAAAUUUACAACACCGCGUUGCCCCCAUUUUCCCUAAUUGCGGAUUGAAAAAACUACCGAAUCCGUCCCCUAUACAAUUAAAGCUACAAUUUUCUAGCAAGAACUUCACAACUGAGUAAACCAUCCACGGAAUUUGCAGACCUCCCAGCACCCAAGACUGGAACAAGGUUGAAUAUGGGGUCGGUGGCGGUCUUUCUUUUUGGGUUUUGCUCAGCGAAUUCACUGAAUACCCUGGUAAAAAUUAAUAACAAUUCUGCAUGAGAGAUGUGAAGCCUUGUUGCAAAAUAGAGCCUGAAAGUCUGCAGAAAGAAACGGAUGGUUAGACAAUCUGCAAUUUGACGCCGUAUGCAGAAAAUCACGGUACAGAUGCAAGUGAUUAGUGCCAAUCCAAGGAAAAUCCCUAAAUUGAAGAUUGUUACUUUGUUAAUGCAAAAGUAUCUUACCGUGACAUCAUCCCAAGAGAAACGGUUCUCUAAUAGAAACGCAUCCAGAAGAUAAACACAAAAUUUUGCUAUUCCCUCAAUCUGGUUCUCAACAAGGGUAUUACAGCCUGCACCAUCUUGAAGAAGGAACUUGGAACAGAUCUUUCCCACAAUAUCUUGUGUCACGGAUAAGACGGCAGCACAAAGUCUCCCAGGCACAACACAUUUCUGCAGGCAUUCAUCAUGCCAGUUUUCAUGCUGGAAACCACAAUAAUCUUGUGCCACAUAACUAACUUCACCAGCCUUGUUAUUAAGAGUUCCUUUAUUGCCCAGCACAUAAAGCACAGGCUUUACUUCUACAAGAGCCCUGCAUAGAAGAAAUAAUGCCUUUCUUAGGAUAAAAAAUUGUGUAUGUUGGCUGAAGCAAUUGUCAGAAGGAGAUAUAGCUAUUAAUUAGGAAAGCUUUCAUUAGAUGCCACGGCCAAGUCAUCUGCGAACUUUAGAUUCAUUUCUUGAUGCAAAUAUUCACUUGUAACAUACCUAAUUCAAUGGAUAGAUGUCAUUCUUAUUAAUGGACAGAAACAGUCGAACAAGCAACAGAAAGAGACUGCAUUGUAGUGUGUUUCAUUUACUUUUAUUGUUCUCUCCUUUCGUGAUACGAAGUACCGAUAUGUGCAUCAUUAUUGUCAUAUCUAUACAUAAUUUUAUCCCAUUCCCCUCCUCAACCCUUCUCAACAGAUUAAAAUACCCCUACAUCCCCUCUCAGCUAUUAAAAACAUCUGCUACCAACUAAUAAAAACAUGCAAAGAAAAGUUGUCUCCAAUACUCAACAAGCUUUGUAGUAAUUAUAAAGGGAAGGAAAAUAAAUAGCACCUUUUUGGCAGAUCUGGAACCAGAACAUAUAAAAAAAUAGGAUCAAGCACGUCAGAUGAGCAUCGAUUGUCGGAAUCAUUUAACUUCAUUUCCUUAAUAAAUAAGUUUGUCUUCUCAAGGGCAAUUCGGUCAGAUUCAUUCAUUGAAGCUGAGCAGUAUAUGACAAAUAGAAUAGCGGAUGUAGCUAUUGAACAGUUAAAGCAUUUUGCUAUUGCUUCACUAUUUUCCAAUGCUUGCUUGAGCUCAACUGUAGGACCUCCACUAGAAAGCAGCAUCGUUGGUGGGUCAAGACCCAAUUGACCUGCCAUGUAGAGAAUAUCCUUGUGCAGCGUUGCCUGGCAAAGGGGAAAAUGUACGCUUGUCACUUCAUGGCUUAAGUUAAGCAUUAUUAAAGCCAACUGGUUAUGCAAUCUAAAUUUGCAUGCUGACAUAAUUAAACUCGCACUCUCUAACAUGACGCUGUAACUGGACAUAAACACUAAACUGAAUUCAGCACAUGAACUUUAGUGUAACUUAGCAGACAACUUCUCAAUGACAUAAAAUCGCUAUAAGACACAUCAAAACCAGUAAAUUCAUAGGUCAAAUUGUUCAAUAUGAUUAAAAUCAUAAGCCAAUUGAACUUUCUAAUUAUUAAUGCUUUGACCAGACAUACUCUAUACGAUUGACAUAAUGCAUUGCCUAUGCUAUUGUAAACUGAAGUUACUAAACAACUGCAUUUUUUUUUAAUAAGGUAGUUUAAUCUAUUAUUCGAAGCAUACAGCACUAGAAGCCUAAAUAAAUACAGGAUUUCUUAGUACAAGCUCUCAUACAUAUUCUUCUCAUUCUGCAUAUGGUACUGAGAAAAGUCUAACAAAAAAGGAAUUGAUUAGUAGGCAAAAGGUGGGCUCAAACAGAACAGAACCAAGCACCCAAAUCCGAAGUACUACAAAGUGCCAAUUUUAUAUACUUAAAGGAGAAAGCAGAAAAUGUGACAACCAAGGUAAUUGAAAAGAAAAGAUUAGUUUUAUGACCUGACUAUAAGGACCAAUGCAACUAGGAGCCCAGUCAGAUAUACUCUGCACGUGCAAAACUCUUUUAGUUUCAUCAUUGGCAACCAACACUUCAAUAUAUGCCAUCCCUAAACCAACUUGUGAUAGAGGAAGCUCAACUGUGGAGCGUGAUGGUACGCCAAAACGGCACUUAUCUUGAGUAAUGAAUCUGAUGUAUGUUUCAUUUGCAACUGCAAAUUUAUUCAUAUCAGCAAUGUAAAGAUGAAUAUAAAAUACAUUCUCCCAGGAGUAACAACAUUCAGCAAGUUGCAAUUCGAUUUUCAUGAGAACAUACUCCAAAUCUGCCUGCAGAUCUGUCAAAUUUAAAUUUAAAAAGAAGUAUUAGACAUGUAAAACUGUUUUGAUGCAAUUCUUAAGCUUAUACUGUAAAUACAUCUACUAACCUCCUGAAGUUUUAGAUGAAUCUUGCAACCAGCAUGAGAUAGAAAAAGUAUUAUCCAUUUUGGUUCUUGAAAUCUGGAGUUCCUGACUAUUAACAUCUACAAAUUUGCUGGCAGGAUGAUUAGACAUACUAAUGUUUUCACAUCUUUGUUGACAAUCUCCUUGGACUUCACAUACCAAAUCAAAUUCAUCAUCGUUUUUGUUACUUUUGCCCAAGGGCACAGUUUCUGCUCUUUUCUCCAAGUGGAAUGCCAAAGGAUGAAGGAUGCCAACGGGACAUAUGGGAUCUUUUGAAUGCAAGACAAUUUGAAAUUCAUCUAGCACAAUGCGGGCAUUCUGAAAAAAGUUCAUUGCAUCAAACGACAUUUUAUGUCUUCCCCCCCCCCCCCCCAAAAAAAAAAAAAAAAACCCAAAAAUGGGUGGGGCGGAGACAAAGAAACUAAAGCUGUACAGAACAAACUUGGUAAAAGCAUUUGGUAAAUUAUACUGAACAACUUAGUGGGUAUAAACUAGAUGUUCCAGAGAUCAGUAUCAAAGAACUUACGACUCCGUAAGUAAUGAGAGAAGUAUACAGUAAGAUAGGACAGCAGUAAAGACAUGUUCGAAAAGAAGAGUGUCCACUCACUUUAAAGAGGGGACAAUCAAGAGUUAAUGUUUCAUAUUCUCCUCCUUCACCACAAACAUUAAGUCCAUAUAGCCUGCCAGAUUUGUUGGUAAAACAACUUGGUAUCCCCUGUAUCUCAAGUACAAUAAAUAAAAAUUUUCUCAUAAUUAACCCGACAUACUCUUUCAGCUUAUGAAGAUGUGGUUCCAACCAUGAUAUUUCUUUCCCCAAGUGUUUUGAAGGAUCCAAACCCAUGGCUGCAACCUGAAAAAUCAAGAGGUCAGGUUACAGUGAAUCAUAGCAGAAACGCUUGCACAGGGACCUGUGCCAAUUUUACAAAAAUUAAAUGUAUAAAUUAUUCGUUUCUGAUAAGUAAAAGCUACAAUGAUUCAAUUUCACCUCAAGAAAACCGUAAAUUUAUGUAAAUGUGUCCUAUAUAUAUAUAUAUAUAUAUAUAUAUAUAUAUAUAUCGCAUCUAAAGGCACAUACUUUCUUGUGCCACUUUACUUCCAUCCACCAUUUGUUUCCUUCGAAAAUUGAUGCAGAAGACAAUAAAAAGUGUAUGCAGAAAAAGUCAAAUAGUAAUAUAGAAUAGAAAUACAUCAAUGCACCUACUAUACCUUUACUGUGAUGGCAACAAUUCCAGCUUUAAUCUGGGGGACACAUACAAAAUUAUUUAGAGUUGAUAACUAGAAAUACCAAAAAUCUGUCUUUAAUAUAGAUAAAAUCAUAUUACCAUGUCUCCAAGGAGUAAUGACUGGUCUUGCUUCCAUAAAUAUGCCAAAGAAACAAGUCCUAACCUUGAACACACACUUUCGACCCGCAGUCUUUGAUAAUCAGAUGCAAUUGCACCAGAAGACACAGCAGCAACAGAGGGUAUCUGUUGUUUCACUUCAUUUAACAAGAUGAACAUAUCCUCAACCUCAUCCCCAGGUGUGGUACUGUAGGUGAGGCCAUGGUGCCUGAAAUCCAACAUUCAAUUAGAAAAAAGAGAUUAUAUUCCAAGGCAUCAAUGUUUUACAUGACUCCCAAUUAAAAUGAUCAAUCUCCAAUUUCUUCACCAAUAGCAAAAAUGAUCACACUCGAAAAUAUUUUGACAUAGUAAGAAAAACUAAGGGUACUAAUACAAAAAAAAAAAAAAAAUAACCAACUGUGAACGUAAUAAAGAUUGAUAACUUUAGAAUUAAUGUAAUCCUAAAAGGAUUGUAUAUUCCUCAAACAUGAUAUUGCUUAUACCCAAAAAGAAAUUUCCAUUUAAGCGGCUUGCCUUGUGGAUCCUUGUAUUCGCCUUCUAAAUAAUGGAAGACCCAUGCAUUUUGCAUAGCUAACGACUAUCUGGUGCCCAACCUGCAAAUUAAAUCUGGAAAAUGAAUUCUAAUAUCUAUUGUUUAAUAUGUCAUGAUGAAGAAAAUAAUUAAAUAUCAAGAGAUCUACUACUUGAUUGUAUCAAUCAGUUUUCUAAGGAAAAUCUUUUCCUUUUGAUCACAUUUUAUAAAUUAGUGAUAAAACCAUCCUCAUCUCAAAUCCCACUCUGUCUCCACCCCCUACCCCAGAAAGAGGAAAACAAAAGGAGGAAACUCAAUGCAUAGUGUAAUGGUCAAUGUGGAACAAAAAACCAAUCCCAAAAAUAAAAUAAAAUAAAUAACUAGCGAAACUGCACAAUAAUAUUUAGUUACCACUCAAAGACGCUUUAAAAAGCCACAAACUCAAUUUCAGCAAAUUGUCCACCAUAGCAGCACUUGUUAAACUAGUUUUCACUAAUUCAAUAUCCCACAGUUCAAUCACACAUUUAUACUUCCUAGUACACCAAAUUCUUUCCAGUUCAUAAACAAACUAUUGUCAAAAGCAAAUGACAUUUUUUUUUUUAAUAUGCAAACAUUUGCCAAGCAGGAAAUUACACCACAAUUGCAAAGCAUAAUGUUUAGCCGCAUAUUGACUCAGUUUCACAUGUCUUAGUUGAGAUAAAAAAACUGUAAAUUCUAAGCACAACUAAUCAAAUCAAAAUAUGUAAACAACUGAUUAAAAUCAUUUCUACGAAAAAUGUCUUACAGUUUGAUACAUGUAGCUAUCGAGCUCGUCCUCCGCAUCAUCAGACGGCAGUAAGUUUGCCAACGCAACAAUCUGCUUGUCACCAAUUAAUAUCCACCUCUUUUUAAUCAUUCAGGUGUAUAUAGCAUAUAAAAGAGAGAGGAAAAAAGGAUGGAGAAAAGAGAGAAGGCGAAUGCCGUGUACCUCAUGACCAUAUGCGAGGCAUUUCAUCAUGGCAUAGCAGCUAUCUUUGCCGCCACUCACUAGAGCCACCACCUUCAUCUCCACCGGCUGCCGGAAAUCGAUGACGCCGACCGAUUCACUACUACCUCUAGUCUAGGGCUGCCCUUCUAAUUAGUAGUAUUUGACUUGAGAGUGGAAAAAGUACCCAGACGUACUAAUGCACGGCACGGACAAGCUCGCCCAUUGCUUUACGACCAGUCCGAGAUCAUAACUUCCUUCUCAAAUUACAUUUCUACCCUGACUAUGGGCCUAAAACCCGUCAACUACGAUUUUAACACCGUGGGCUGGGGCCGAUAGCAUUUAUCGGCCCGGUGGUACGCGUAACAUUCUCCAACCUAAAAUUCUCUGUAAAUUUUUAUUAACUGCGCUGUCGAUUGAGCCGUCUUCCGUAUAAAUGUUGUUGUUGAUUACAAUUACAGUGGAUAAAUUAUGGUGUAAAGUGUUUAAAAUAAAAUUUUAAGUUACAAAGUGAGAAUGAGAUACAAGUUUUAAAUACAAGAGUUAGUUAUAUUUCAAUCAUCUUAAACAUUUAUGCAAAUAAUGAUUUAGUGACUAAAACUGAAGAUUAAAUCUAGGUAUUAGAGCAGUCUUGAGUUUAAAUCUCCCCCACUUCCUCAUCUAAUUGCUUGGAAAAACAGAAAAAAAAAGUGAUGAGCAAUUAAUUACACGACCAAGGACAUAUCUAAGUGACAUGACCAGCAUUUAUGCAACAAGUGACGAGCAUUUAUACAAAAAAGGUUUUUUGAUUAUUUUCUCUCAAUUCGAAAAUUUAACGAACACUCUCAAUUUAGCGAAUCGAAAUACUUACAACCGAAACUGAUGCUUCAUUUUACUUCCCUGUUCGGUAACAUUUUAAUAUUUUUUUGGGCACGAUUUUCAACUUUAAUUUUAAUUUUGUUGGUAACGUUUUGGUUGCCAAUCCUGUUCCGCCCUUUCAAAGAGCGCAUGAUUGUAUUCUACUAGAGCCAGUUCUCCAAUUUCGUUAACUUAAUUGCACAUGAUCUGAGGUUAUUUUGUUUUGACACCGACCCGGUUUGUUUGGAAAAGAAAUAUUUUUUGUGGUGUGAUACAUGUGAGAUAAAAGGUAAUUGAAAAUCUUGCAAUCCAAACAAACCGUCAGACUCUAUUUGGUUUUAUGAAAAUCGUGUAGCAGUGAUUGACGGGCCGCCAGAUCAUCAGAUGGUAGAGAGCAGGGGUGCUUCAUGUUCUAACCGUUGACACUGUAAGCUCGGCUGCGCAUUGACCGAGGUGAUAGCAACAAAUUGGCCUGAUUCAAUGGUCUCGAGAUAAGAAUUCAGAGAUGCUACAUUACAUGCAACAAUUAAUAUAAUUUACAUACAACAAUAUAAUUUAAGAUUGACCCCACCUGUUAGUCUGGCACAGCACCCGUAACAAAUGAAUUUAUAUUCACAUCCAUCAGAAAGACCAGCAAUAGUUCAAUCAAAGUAAGCGAACAACAACAUCAUCAUUACACAAAAUCCACGGCACAAAACUAAGAAAAACCGCUACAGAGACUCAAAAUCUUAGAAAAUUUAAAGACAAAAAGGAUCAGCACGAGAUACGUAACCUGAGUUCUGACCACGCUACAACUUGAAAAGAAGUAUUGAGUGAAGGACUAGAGUUUGGCACUAGAGAACAAUUAUUCAAGAUAUUUGCCUUACAACUAAUAAGAGAAAACACCAGAGAUAGAUAAUAACUUAACGCAAAGCUUUUUCGGUUAUCACCUAAUUUCCAAGUGGGCCUACCUCCCCAAGUGUCCUAACAUUCUAACCAGGGACUUCCACCUAACAAGGAAAUUUUCGCAAUUCCUCAGCUUGGCAAGCUCGUCACCAUCAGAUCAAAUGAACAUUUCCUUCUGGCUGCAUCAGAAAGAUCUUUGGACAUUUUGAACAGCAAUGCUGGUUUUCUCCCGACGAUCUGCCUGCAAAUCAACUGGUAUCAGCCGGAUGGCAAGCUUGUAAUGAAAGAAUUCAGUACAGACACCUGAAAUUACAAGAAAAAUCCAUGUCAUAUAUCAUGUGAAUUUCGCAUCUGCAUUUGUUCUUUCCAAGCACUCAAUAUUCAAAAUACUGCCCACAGUUUUGCAAUUAAACAUUUGGUGCAAAUACUUGUUAUCUGUAUCAACUGUUAGAGCUAGUCGGUUGAUAUUCAAAUAAUAACCAAGCUCCAAGUAUACUUGAAAAAAGUUGGAUAUUAAGGCACAGUUCAUCUGUCCUUUCACUAUGCCCUUAAUAAUUAGUACUUGAACGAGUUCCUGCUGUGCCUAAUCAACACGGUACAACUACUUUUCACACGGCGAAUCAAUUAAUGCCCUGCUGCUGCCAGCCACUAUUACGAUGAAGCACAAAUCUCUCAAUUUCUUACACUCUACUUUGGCAUGACAUUAAGCACAAAUCUCUCAAUCUCUCAAACCCGCGCCCCCCCCCCCCCCCCCUCCCCCAAAAAAAAAAAACUGAAAAGAAAAAAAGGACCUCACAAAAAAGGCUUUUAUCAAGUCUCUUCACUAUAUUGUUUUGCACAAAGUACUUGAAACAAAAUAUAGAAUGUCAUGGGGGUGAACUGGAUUGAAUCCACCACUAUUUAUUUUAAGCAUAUCAUGCUUAGUCAACGCUAUAUAAAUCAGGAUAUCAUAAUGCAGCAUGCUGGCAACUGACUUGAAUCCAUCACUGUUCAUUCUAAGUAUAUCAUGCUUUGCUAAUGCCAUAUCAAUCAGCAUAUCAUAAUGCAUCUUACCCACUGAAACUCAAAAUGGAGCCUCAAGUGAUUCAUCCCAAACAUCUGCACUUCCAUUAGAGGCAUCCUCCGCAUCUUCCUCCAUUGAGAGCCUAAUAUAUUCUCGGUGGGCAAAACGAUCCCACUCUGUCAAUGUUGGGUUCUCACGCUCCUGUUAACAUAAAGGAAGAAUAAAGGUGGCAAUUAUCACAUUACAUAAUGUGCAUCCCAAAAUUAUCACAUUAAUUAUAUUAUGCAUAUCUCAAAUUGCAACAAAGUCCCAGGUAUACUGGAACUUUUGCUUGACUAUAAGCAAACCAAAUGACUGAACUACCUGACGGAUUAGAAAAGGAUCACGGGUCUCAAAUGCCAUGAACUUAUUGAGGUUGAAAAGGAUAUUGAAUACACUGCCUGACAGCCUGCUUCCUUUCAGGUCACGUAAUGUAAAGUAGCUUUCAUUCUGCAAGACAAUCCAACUUUACAAUUUAUUGUUGCAUAUGAAAUUAGCAGUGGCCAAAAUGAGUCUAUGAUAUCAGUUUUAAAAAUUUUAAAACCUUGUAGGACAAUAUGGACAGGAUACCAUCCUUGAGAGCACAUUCUUUGAUUCACUAGGACCAUUAAAAUAAAAAUCUAGUUUCAGAAAUAGGAGCAAACCCUAAAACUGACAACAUCAUCUUUCUACAAAAUCAAAGAUUAGAAAGGAAAAACGAAAUUGGAAUAUGGUCUGUUGCAAUGCUUUCACAUUGCUUUAAGCAAGAAAAUACAAGCCUCAACAUAAGGAGAUUCUCUUUGCAAAUUAAAAAAGAAACGAAAGUCCCAAAGGCAUUAACUAGCAAUUGCUAACUAACACAGGAGAAGAAAAUCUGGUGUUAUAACUAUAUGUGCCCCCCAAAAUUAAACCGACAGCAAAACCCCAAGGAGAGCCAAAACUUGGCACAGAAAACAGAAUUGAGAAAGAUUCGGUGAUGUUAUAAAGAAGCUAACCUCUGGACUUAUCAUGUCAACCAUCUGGCAUAAAAUAUCCUCAAAAAGUACAGGCUCCUGGGCCAUGCAUUCCAUUCUAUGCAACUGCUCCUCGUAGAAGAAUUGCAGUUCAUUCCUUGUUAUGACCCCAUUCCCAUCCAAAUCUAUGCAUUUAAACCUGAUCAGGAAAGGAGAAAGGGGGAAAAAAUGUGCACAAUAGAAUCAAUUAUAUAUCAAAUUUCAGUUGCUGCAAGUAAUAAGAUCCUCUAAUAAUUUUGAUAAAAAAGUUAUUUUACUAACAAAACCCUAUUCUAAGACAAAAGAAACCUUAUCAUCUUUUAUUUGACAUAUUCAUAUGAACUUUAGUAAAAUAAAUGAAAUAAUGAAAUUUCUAAAUCAGCUGGUUGCAUUCUUGAAUGACAACACAAGGACCACUAUAAACACACUGCCGACCAACAACCUCCUAGAUGAAAGUUACCAUAUGAUGCUCCAAAAACCAGGUCUAAUACUUCUCCCUGUAUUUUUUUAAAAAUAAAAUUGUAACAUAAUUCUAAGUGUUUAACUUGAGGAAAAACAAAUACUUCAAAGCAGGUAUAACAUUCAUAUUGUUAGGAAAACAGUACCAGUAUUCAAGACUAGGUUCCGAUGAUUUAUCCUCCUCUGACAAUAUGAAAUAAACAAAAUCUUCGUAUCCCAUCUUUCCUUCAACCUUGCUGGUGAACUUUCUUGGCACCUAGGAACAAAAAGGACAUUACAAUCAGAACCAGCCUUAAAUAAGCUUAACAUGCCUAUUUCGUCAGCAAGCAUGUACAAUUACCCUGAAAACAAAUAUAGAUCAUUAAUAACUAUUACCUGAGAAAAUAUCCUAUCGACAAUUCUGUAGGUAAGCGCAUGGUUGCCAUAUCUUAUAAGGUUCUCUUUAUCAAUUAAAAAAUCAUGAUCUGUGUCCAGCUCCCAAAACUUGCAAUAUAUCACAUAAAAGUGUUCAUACGAGAAGUACCUGAAGCACAAAAUAAAACCAAAAAAAGAACAAAAAAAAUCUUAAAACUCGGAGAAGAAUGUAUCAGAUCAUAUACUACAAGCAUGUAAAAACUGCAUGUAAUUCGUAUAUCUGCAGCACCUAAUGAAUGCACAGUGCUUUGCCCCAAAUUGGAAGAUAAAAUCUUUAUGUUUGUAGUUUCAAAUAGUAAAUACAACAUCCAUGAAAUAAUCAGCCUGUUUGGCAAACAAGUUUUUGGCCAAGUGUGUCUACUACAAGUUUUUUAACAACCUAUAGCUACAGUAAUCUCAAAAAACUUCUCAAAGUUUUUAAACUACACACUUCAAAAUAUCCAAAAAUUUACACACUUCAAAAAUUUUUCCUACAACUUCUACACUAAGCUACAGUAAAAUUUUAGACAAACACCCAAGAAACUCAUUUGCCAAACGGGGCCAAUAAUUCCACUUAUAGUUAGCUGGUAAUGAAGGGAGAUAGCAGGGCUGUAGGUUGGACUAUUCAUCAAUGAACCAUUUUAACAAAUAACUAAUGCCACAAUAACAGCAACUUAUUUACACAAACUGUUCGAGUUAAAUUCCUGGAAAAAAAAUCGAAGGGGCUUACAAGACAAUAGAAUGACAUACUAAAUUUCACCAGGAGCACUUCCACUAAUAAAAGCAAAAUGAAUCCAUUUUUUCCUUGAAUAAUGAAAAUUGAAAAGGGACUACAAUUUAGAAUGAGAUUGCUUAUAAGCUAUUGAUCUAGCAAACAAAUAAGGUAAUUUGUCAGGUGCAGAACUUACCUCAAAACCUUGUUAAUAUCCUCCUCCUCGUCAGCAUGUUGCAUUGCAGCAAUUAAGUUCGAACGUUUAAGCUCCCUGAGGGUAAGACGACCAUUACCCGAUCUAUUCACGUAGUAAAAUAUUCUGUAUAUUACAGUUUCAGCUGGCCAAUGGAAUAAAAUUGAACGUUACGAUGCAAUGAAACAACGCAAUUCAAUCGAAUUAAAAGAAAGUAUGAAGACAUAUAUAAUAUGGAAAAGGAGAACCAUAAAGCCGAUUUAAGGGCCAGGAAUGCCAGAUGUUUGAGAGCAGUCAGGUCAAAAGUUCUGGAUUCACGGAAACCACCAUACAAUUUACCCUACUUACCAACCCCUCCCCUUCCCCCCCAAAAAAACAAAUUUGCAUUUAUGACUUGGCUAUUACAGGAAAGUUAAGAAGACCAUGCACCCAGCCAAACAAGAAAGGGGGCCAUUCUUUGAAGGACCAACCUUAUGAAUAUGUUUCAUCUUCUAAUCCCAGAUUCAUUUAUCACAUGAUGAUUUUUGAGCAAUUUAAAAUACUCCCAACAGUGUCAUAAUAUAAUUUUCGACAAACAACCCACUUCAGGAACUCAAAACCCAAAAAUAAAUGGAGAAGAAACUGCAGCUAAGUGCCAGGAAAAUUGCAUAUUGAUUAUCAAAGAAAUCACAAGAUACCCCUCCAUUAGAGUUAGUAAAUGAUGUAUGUCCCUUGACAAAUACUUUGAGCCAUUUCAUGAUGCAAGACUUCUCAAAAUUUGGAACUUGUUUACCCUAAAUACCCUAAAUCUAAGUGAAGCAUCGAACUCCAUCGUGCAAAUCAAGAAAACUAGUAAAAGAGACAAAAAUAAAAGUCCAGCAAGAGAAUUCAAAGAUACCAUAUCUCUCUUGAAAUUCAGGUGUACUCUGUAAGAACUCCAAGCCUGGAUGAGUUGCCAAAAGUUCUCGAAGUAGAGGUUUGAAGUCAUCCUGUUAAAGUGAAAUUCAUAGCCAGUUAAAAACAACUCCAAAGGCACUUUGUAAUCUUCACGCAAACAUAGCCAGUUGUAAGUGUCAAAGAAAUUCUUAAGAGCAUUUCCAUGCUACCACUUAAAUUAAAGCACGCCCUAGAGUAAAAUAACAUAGCCAAAGAGUAAAAUAACAUAGAUAAUACAAAGAGCACCUGAGUCAGGUAUCUGAAAUCUGGCUGUUUCAAUAUUGUAAAUAUCUGCGUAGCAAUAUCUUUUGUCAACAUGUUGCCAUUUACCCAGUAGUCAACAAAGGCAUCUCUACAAGUGCAUAACAGACUUAGUCAAACAAGGUAUUGACAGAAUACAACUGAGACAGCAAUCAAGAAACAAUAACAAAUUAAGUUCAAAUAACUUCUAUAAAACAGCUCCAAGGCCAAAACAUGUAUGAUGGCAGACCAAAUCCAGGCACAACAAUUAGGUAAAAGAUACCAUUCUCUGUAUGGCAUAUAAAACCUCAAAUAAUUUCAUGCACCUGCACAACAAUAGAUAUGCAAAAGAUGCCAUUGUGUAUGGCAUAUAAAACCCCAAAUAGUUUCAUGCACCCAAGAAUAUAAGACUGGGAAAUCCUUAAAAAUGACAAAACACCAAAAUAAAAAUGAUAUACCAAAGGACACAAAAGAAGAACAGCCCUGUCUAAUAAAUGUUAAGUUUGAACUUGUUUCUCCAUUUUCUUUUUGUUAGCAAUGGCCAAUUACAAUGGGUAGACAGUAUGAUCCAAUAGUACACUUCGUAGGAAUGCAAAAUGCACAGUGCCAAGGAGAAGGGAGCUUGUUUAUGAUGUUUGACGUAAAUUCAAGAGUCUCAGAAGUUGAAGACUUAGUGGAGGAGAGGCCUGCAACUAAAACGUCCCGCAGUUCAGGCAGAACAGGUCCUUUAGACUGCCUUGUCUAACAUUCCUACUCAAUUCCUUUCACAGGUUCUCAAAAUGUUUAGAACAAAAAGAGCAGAAACCAUACAAACAGCAUUAUUGCCAGCACUAACAAUAACAUAUUUGCUCCUUCAAGAGCUCCCACAAGCAUAAUGUGGUGCUCAAAAGAUCCUACCAUCCAUACAAAUCAAACAGCAAAAUCAUAAUCAAUGACAAUCAGCUGACAAGCAUGAUAGGCACAAACAGUCUAACACAUGAGACAAGCUUGUUAAGUUUUAGUGAUGAUAAAUGCCUAGAAGUCUAGUAACAAAAAACAAUGUCAAAGGAUGACUUGCUUUGCCACCCAAAAUUUAACAAACACUAGGCAGUUGAAAAUUGGCACAUCAUCAUGUUGGGUGAACUUCUUCCAGACCAUAGAACUUCUCAGACAAGACCAAAAAGGCGCCAAAAAACAAUGAGAUUCAUCGCACCAUAUGAAGUCUCCCAGGUUUUUUUUCCCACCAAAUUCUCCGCAUAAGCAAGCAUCCCAUUAGACAUAAUAAACCAAGCAAGGAAGGGGAAGAACAGAACCAAAAUAUUGCCCAUAUUCGAGGCAGAAAAUAUGCAAUACUUAUCACGUCCAAGAAAAGGCUCUCUCCAUCUUUUCCUCCAUAAUGACAUGCAUAAACAUAGGCCUAAGAGCAACAUUAACCCAUUCAUCCCAAGAAAGCUUCUAGAAGAUAGAUAUAGAAUCAAGAAGAAUGGUAACAAAAGACAAUGAAGAAAAGAAGCAAGAUUAAGCAAGAUUUACAUGCAACAUUGCAGAAGGAAUGUCCAAAAUGAUGGAUGUCUGAAACUAACAAAUAGUAUGGUCUACACUGGACUAUAUAGGAAGUUUCUUAGUUACAGAGCUGUACUUGGUAAUGAUCCCUGUACCAUCAAGAUCCAUCUUUCUGAAAAGUGCACUGGAGAAGAAUGAUGGCAGCUUGCAAAUUUCCUUUGUCACAGGUUUAAAUUCUGACAAUUGAUUACAAGGAAUGUCAGUGAAAAGAAAUUGUUAUGAAAAAUCUCUAAAUUCUAUACAUUGUCACUUAUGACACACCUUAGAGUAACUGAAAGUUGGAUAACAUACUAUUACUACAAGAUAUGGUUUCUAAAUCAUAAAAGUUGAAUAUAAUGCUAUUACUGCAAACUAUAUUUUCUAAAUCAUAAAAGCUGAAUAUCAUGCCAUUACUACAUACUACUCUUGAUCGUACCAUGCAUUUGUAAUCCAUCCAUGUGGCCAUAAAAGAACUGAUUGAUCCUAAACAAACACCGCUCUUUCAUCUCAUUUGGAGGUGGACGGCCGUUUUGAAAGUAAAACUGCAGUCAUUCCAGAAAAUUAACAAAGAGAAACCAAUAAACGACAAUGCUUAUCAGCAUCCAUGAUGUUUUAAGAAAAGGAGUGCCAAGGCUAUCCAACCUGAGGUAUAAGCUCUUUAACUGGUUCAUUCACUAAUUUUAAAGGAGAACCCAAUACAGAGGCCCUUUGUUGCUUGGUGGUUCGAGGGGAACCAGAUGAACUUCUUGGAGAAAGUGGAGGCGUGCUGCCGGCAGGAAACAUGGAAGGCAAUGAAUUACUGGCAGCAGAACUUGUGUUAGAAGAUGUUCCAGAAACAUUUAAAGGACCACCUCCCUUGGCAUUAUUAAUUAAAGAUUUGACCUGCACUUACAAAAAAAAGAUGUUUUGUUUCGUACGCAUGUGCUAAACACUCAAAAUAUAAGAAUAAAUAAUUUCAGGUAACAAAAUCAAUAAACAAAGCUUCUGCUUCAAAAGGUGAAGAAUGAAUAAGAAAUUUUUGACAAAAGCAACUUGCACUGCUUUAAGAAAGCUACAGAGAAAAUUGAUAAUGAAAUAACAGUAAAAACCAUACAUUUCACACUUUUUGCAGAAAAAGUAACCAAAUAUAUAUAUAUUCAGACAUAAAGCUAAUAGUAGCAACAAAUUACACAAGAUCUGGGUAGCCCUUACGCCAACUGUGAGCUGAAAUGGUAUCCAAAUGGAAGUAAUUCUAUACUAUGGAAAAGGUUAUCAAGUCAAGAAUCAAUGAGGUGUGUCUCCUGAUAAGAAUUCCUGUACUCAUGCAUGUCAAAGAAUACACUGUGGCUCAGCAGCAUCCGUUGACACCCAAAAGGCACCGAUAUUUCACCUGAUAAUGCAUUGUUCAAUAUAAAGUAGGGCUCCUUUCACCACACAGUACUAAUUUAAGAGGCAUUUUUUGAAGAGCUUCAUUAAACAUUAAUAUUAAGAAACAUGGACUUCGGUCAAGAUUGGACUUCAACGACAACUAUGCUUAAGUCAACACAAACUUCUUAGGAAUCAACCCAGCUCGUUUUUUAACCUAAUUCAGCACCGUUAAACAUUAAAUUCUUCAAUUCUUUGCAUAUCUAAAGCUCAUUUUUGUCGAAUUAACACAUAUUGCCAUGUCCUCUGGCCCAUUGCCAUUAAGCAAUACUGACAAAUAGCUUCACCGUGGUCACAUUAACACAUGCUGCCAUUUCCUCUGGCCCGUUGCCAUUACGCGAUACUGACCAGUAGCUUCAUUAAUUGUAAUAAACCUAAGAAUACCAUCCUGGCCUGAAUUAUCCAAAGGAUUGCUAAUUAUAUCCACAUGACACCGUCAAUCUCAGCAUCAACAGAUAUCAUUACCUUUUCCUUCCAUUUUACAAUUCUCACACAUUCCUUUACGGCCCCAAUUACAAUGCUAGUUUUAACAAUUCAUGCUCUCCAUACAUAACGCACUAAAUUCACAUCCAAUUCACUAGCAGCCUAAAUGAAUGAACCAGGCGACCAAAACAACACUUGUAUUUACACAAAAAUAAAUGCAGCUGAUUACAAAUUAUGCAAUUCAAUCUUUCACAACAGGGCAGGCAAUAAAAAUCUAAAUCGUUGAGCCAUGCAUAUAAAUAUACCAAUGAACCGGUGUCAGGAAGCGAAAGCCAUUGGUCGAAAAGCUUCUCGGCGACACAAGGGUUAUCUUUGAUAGCCAAAGGAGCCACCUCUGGCAGCUGCAACAAGUCGGCAUCGAGACACGCCACGUCACUGUUAAAAUCUAACUCCAUAUUUAUAAAACACUCCAAUCAAAAUCCACCGAUAUCUCCAGAUCUUCCAACGCUCUCUCAAUCAUCAAACAAACCCUAAUUUAAAGGGAAACAAAGACAAACAAAAUUCUUCCUUCCCUAUAUACACGAAUCAAACGGCCCGGUUUAAUUUGGAAUUACAACGGAAAAUGAAUUGAGAUCUAAUAAUUUUACAGAUCUUCGACAAGUAAUUUAUUGGCGAUUAUGGGAUAAACCCUAGAAUUGAAUUCGUUCAGGAGAUCGGAGGAAGAAACGACGCUUUGGGAAGUGAGUGUUUAUGUGAGAUGGAGUGAUGGUAUGGAUAUUGUAUGUAUAGGUUGAUAUAUACAUACAAAUAUAUGAAGGUUAAUUGUAGUGACGACAGCGGGCAGACACCUGAAAAGAUGAAAAUCCACAACCCACAGAUGAAAGAAAAGAAAGAAGCGAAAGGAGGGAGGGCCGGAGAUGGGUCUAUUGGUCACAAAGCCGUAAACGAUUCUAAAAUCUAUUUGGCCCGGCACGUGGAAGAAGCGUGACGAGCUCAAUUGUUCUUUCCUCAUUCAGUUCAGCUGAUGGACGUUGCUUGCAUCCACUAGUACCAUACUAGCUUCGUCGAGCAAUCUGAAAUUUGCAUCAUCAUCAAUAUGGAAAGUGCGCUUGCGAGUUUGGAAAACGUGAAAAUUUUUUGAAGAAAAAUGAUGAUAUAAUUCGAACAAGGCUAAAAUUAUUUUCGUUUUACUCUCUUCGUUGUGUUUUUUUUUUGGGUACUGAAUGAAGGGAGUGAUUUUCUUCCUAAAUCAUUAUAUAUUCUUCCAAAGGUAAGUUAGUAACUAUUAGCAUUAUUUUACUUCAUGAAACGUGAUAAUGCAUUUAUGUCAUUAAUUAUGUCUCGGUUUUGAUUUUUUUCAAGCUAAAUUUAAUCAGAAGAGAUCCAAUAAUAUGUUUAGGUGAACUUCGUUAUAAAUUAGGUUGGCAUUUUAAUUACAUGCAUUUUGAGUAUAUAUAAAAUAUUUUGUUUGGUAAAUGUAAUAUCUUACUAUACGGUUAUAAUCUCGUCACUUAAUCGUGUUGUGCACGUAAUCUUUCUCUAUAUUUUUUCUCUUUGUAAAUGUUUAAGAAUCUAUUUCUUCAUGAUAUUUUUUCAGGCAAAAUUUAUGUAAAACGUUGAUGUUUUUGUUAGCCAAAUAAAAAAAUUUACUUCACAAAUUUCAAUCACCUUUUUAUCUUCCCAACCAUCUUUUUAUCUCGCAUACAUCACAUCACAAAAAAUGCUACAGUAAUUAUCUCAAAUAAAUCAUUCAAAUAAACUCUUAUCCAAACAAUGUCAAUCAUUAGCCAUAGCUUCAUAAUAGUAGCUUCCAUCCACAUUCAUUACUAUUCAAAGUAAUCAUGCCCGUUGAUUUUCAAUUUUAAGAUCAAAUUUAUCAUUGCUGCGCUAAAGUGCAUGUUAAACAGGCAUAACUAGGGCUGCAAACGAGUCGAGUUGAGUCGAAUUUUAAGCUAAUCGAACCGAGUCUCGACUAAAUUUUACCGAGCUCGACGAGCCGGCAAUUUUCGAGCUCGAGCUCGGAAAAAAAUAAAAAAUAAAAAUUGUAUUUUUAAAAAAAUAAAUAAAAUAAUUUUUUUUGAAUAAAUAAUAAAAUAUUAAGGAUAUAUACAUAAUUUUACUAUAAAAAUAAAAAAAAAAAUAUAUAUAAUAAUAUUAAUUUUAUUAUUAAAUAAAAAUAAAAAAAAUAAUAUAUAUAUACUCAAACUCGCGAGUCAGCUCGCGAGCUAACGAACUUAAUAUUCUUAGUUUGAGUUCGAGCUCGAGUUUGACUCGAGCCGCUCACGAGCGGCUCGAUUCAUUUGCAACCCUAGACAUAACACAAAGAAGAUGGAAAUAUAUGAAUAUAUAUAUCUAACAUUUCAUCAAUAGGCAUCUUUUGUUUGCAUGUACGACUUGUUCCAUUUAUCUAUUUUGUCCUGUUUUCAAGAAAAUUAUACAAUAAAUAAACUACACAUCUAUACAAAAUAAAAUAAGGUAAAAGAAUGUUGAAUAUCCAAAAAAUGGAAUAAUAUAUAAGUGAUUUUUAUUGAUUUGUUAAUUUAUGAACAUAAUGCAUAAGGCUGUCACGCUAUCUCAAUUUUCGUUAAGUGACCUAAUCCAAUAUGAUAUUCUGUCCAUAUAAAGCAUCAGCCAUUAUUAUAAGCAAAUUUAUCAAUGAAAUUUCAAAUAUUAGAAGACACGUUCAAAGCUUUCUGCUUGAGAAAAAUAAAAUUUGUAGAACUUAAAAGAUCACGCAAAAGGUUAUAGGAGAUUAAAUUCAUAGAACUAAUGUAUAUAGAGAGGCAAUUUACACACAUAUACACAUAUAUAUAUAUAUGUAUGUAUGUACAUACGUACGUAUGUAUAUGCAUGUAUGUAUAGGGAAAAAUCUUAUGAUGCAGAAUUGUAUAAAUAUUAUUAUUGUUCCAGUAUCCUGCAGUUAUCUUGGAAUAAAGCCCAGUCAUAUUGAGCAUCGUGCUUCACAGAAAAAGCAAGGGCAUGUGCCUAAACAGAGAAGACAAACUUAUAUUCAUAGCUCCAAAAUUCGUAGUACCAACAAAUUGCUCGCACAAUUCGUAAGUUGUCUAAACCUGUGGGACUAUUUUGUAAUAUGACCAAACAUCACGUAAACGCACCUACUCUUAGUAUGGAACUCCCCGACUUUUUCUUUUUACGGCAACAAAACGAAAUUAUCUCUAUCUCUCUCCAGCGUAUCUUGUAAGCGGGAAGAUGACCGGAGCUGACAAGUCGUCUGAUUUAUUGAAGGAACUGGAGCGUUUGUUGGAUUCAGACCCCUUGAUGUAAGCCUCCAAUUGCUUCCCGUGUUUUGAUUGCUUAUUUUAUGUAUCAUAUGCACUUGCAUUGCAUUAAUUUCUUUGAAUUGUAGUUUCAAGAAACGAUCAAAAGUGUGAAAGCUCUUAUUGAUUGCAAUUUCUUUUAAUUAUGGUCAUGGAAAUGCUGCGAUUAUCUGAGUUUUAAUAGUACUUACCCGGGAAAAUGCUAUUGAUCUUAAUUAAGUAUUGGAUUUCAUAUUUUUUGGUAGUUCUAAUCCAAUUCGGGAUUUUCGAUGCUGAUUGCUGCUUGUAUGCAAUUUAUCUGUUCCUUGUGACAAUGGAUGAUGCUAACUCGAGCUCAUGAUCUAGUCAAAGGUCAAAAGAGUUCUACAUCUUUAUCUGUGACGAUUGUGCUAGCGAGGUGAAGCUAUCUGAGGCAGUUUAGUCAUUAAUUUGUUGAAGUUCAAGCUCCCCCCCCCCUCCCUUCUCAAAAAAAAAAAAAAAAAGGUGUUCCCUCCAAUUGAAACAGUCUCAAAUUGAUCCAACCUAUUUAUUAAAGGCAUUAACAGUUCUUCUGAUUAUAGAGGAAUUAGCGACAAAAAGAGGGAGAUAACACAAGUCGUUUUUGUCUUUUUACGAGAGGCGUUUGCAUCUUCAUGUUUCCAACGAUAAAGGUGCAAUCUUUGCUGGUUACACAUGGUUUUGACAGAGUGCAAUUUAGAGGUUCUAUCGACAAGAAGUGCACGAAUUUAACUUGGCGAAAGAAGGCACCUUUCAUUCAACUCAAUAAAGCAGGAACAACUUUUAGUAGAAUGAUGAAUAAAUCUUGCUUAGCUGGAUUUUUUUUUAAACCAAGCUGGAACGAUUUUUUCAAGGAGGCCCUUUAUAAUUUUAAAAUUCUGGACCUUUUGACUACUACUUUAGGAUUUUCUUAUACUUUUUAAUUUCUUUGCUUGAUGUGUUAUGAUUGUUAGUAUGUCUUCUUCAGCAGAUUUAUGUUUAUUUUCAAUAUGUUUGGAAUUUAUUGUUGAUUAACCGACAUCCUGUAAUUAUGCUUCCUUCUAAAUCAAGGGAUGAAGUAGGGUUUAUUCAUCCAUCACAGCUUGCUGAACUUCGUAAAGAGGCCGGUAGUACUUCAAGGGACAGGCUCAUGGGAUCUGCACAAACAGAAGCUAAUACUUUUGAUUUAGUUUUUUGGAGCAGAGAGCAUAAGUUGGGAAUCUCUACCACUGCUCUUCUUCCGUUAUACAAAGCAGCUAAACAUGCAUUCAUGGAAGCAAUAAGACAAUAUCAGACUUUAACUGACUUGCAGAGAGAAAGAGAUGAUUCAAAAGAUGUCAAUGCAUCAACAUUUACUUCAUCUUCCAUAAGCAUUCUGGAGACUGAUGUGAUGAAGCACAGCCGGGCUCUUCUGUUGUUAAGCUGCGAUUUCGGCACUGCUUGGAAUUGCAGGUCCUUAUAUCCUCAUCAUUUAUCAUUCUCUGCAGUCAUAUCUAUGAAUGUGUAAAUGUGUGUAUGUAUCCGUUUUUCUAUUAACCCAUCUAUUUUUAAUAUGUGUAUAAAGUAAUUUUUUGGGUAACUAAUCAAUCUUUGUUGUUGAAAGAAAAUCUGUACACACAAGAAGGAGGGCGUAUCCUCUGUAUGGUGCUCACUUUCCUGCAUUGAUAUGUAAAGAAGAUCAAUAUGGAUGAACAUAAAAUAUUUUAGCAAGAUCAAGUGGCAAUACUCAGUCCAGGCUAUAUUAGUAAUUAGGUACUCCCACAAGUUUUCUUUUCCUUCUGAUACAGAGUGCAUGUGGCAUUAGCUGCUCUAUCCUGAGAUUUGGUCUAUCUCUAUCGACAGUGCAACAAAUAUUGUUCUUAAAGCAUUGUAAAGGCACAUGGAUUUUAGUUUGCGGCAUGUAUGCCGCCGAUUAUUAAUUAGCAUUUACUAGAUCUGCAGUUCUAGCAGAGAAGGAACAGAGGAAAACAGGUGGAUAGCGCCUUUGAACACAAAUAGAGAAACUAAUAAACUAGAAAAACGAAGAAAACCCUUGAUUGUUCAUUGGUUUACAAAAAUCCUUUGUUCCUUUAUUUCAACAAUGUUGUGUACUACCGGCCAAACAUACUUAUAAAGACCUCAUAUGGUUGCUACUACUGGAACCAAAAUCUUGGUCCUAUAUUUCCACACAUUAUCUAUCCAUAUAAGCAUGUCAUAAUAAAUCUAAGCAAGAAAGCUUCGUGAGCAUUGAACUCGUUUUUCUGCUGGCAUUGAGAGUAAAACUUAUUGGAAAAUAGUUUAUUCAUAAUUGCAGAUCCUUCUGUAGUUUGAUUUAACAUAAACCUCUCACUGCUAAUCUUUAGCUUUUCAUUGUUCUAUUAUAGAAAAAUGCUGGCUAAUGCUAUUGCAGGUUUAUUGCUCUCAAAUGUGUGUAUACAUAAAGAUAUACUGGUAUGUACAUAGAUGUACAAGGGCACACACUCAACUUUGAAAGUAUUGGCUGGUAAUGAUGCCAAACAAAAGCUGAAAAUGUUUGCUACAUGUUUUACUCGGCUAAUUAGAAAAUUCUGAAAAAUAUGAAUUGGCGUGUGGUAGACAUUUCUUAGCUGGUAAACUUUCAACUUGCAGGAAAUUAGUUGUUUCCAAGCUGGAGCUACUUCAUACUUAUAUGGAUGAACUUAAUUUGUCAAGUUUGGUUCUUUCUUAUGCACCAAAAAGUGAACGUGCGUGGAACCAUCGGUAAAUUUCUGCUGUCUUGUGUGCGAAACAUUGUGCACGUACAUGUUUAACAUCUGUUUUUAUGAUAAGGAAUAACAACUUUUUCUGAAGAUAUUUUUCAUACGUGUAUUUUCUGUUUCUUUUCAUUCAUGCAUUUGCAUGUAGCGUUGCAUUAUACUUGUCAAUCACUUUGCACUUGUAUUGAUUUGGUGCAUUGGAUGCUUAUUACUGACAAUUACUGAUAGGAGGUGGGUGAUCAAGAUGAUUGCUGGAAAGUGUCCAAAUCUGCAAGAGAUUAUUGAAAGAGAAUCUGAGUUUGUUGAGAAAUUAGCUGAGGUCAAUUUUUGUAUCAUGAAUUGCAUGAUAUAGAAGAUAUGAUCUUAUCAGUCAAUUUCAAGUUUUAUUGAAUGUCAAAUGGAAAUUUAGAUGUCAUGUUGGUUGCCAUGUUUGUACUUAGUCAUUUUCUUGAUUAAUCCUUUACUUUUCUCCUGCAUACUUAGUGUGCGUGGAGCACUUGAGUUCCAUACUAUCACAUCGCAGUGCCUUCAAAUUUGAGUUCUGUGUUCGGCAAAAUUUGUCAGGGAAUGGAGCAAAGGAGGCUAAUGUCAUCUUUGAUAUUAGCUUUUAGAAGUAUCAUACUUGAUGAUUAUGCAUUUUCUCCUAUUUAACUGAAUAGAGAUUGCUUAUAUGAAGAUUUUUGGUGAUCCAUUGGUUUUUCAAAAGCCUACUUGAGACAUGAUAUUCCUUUUUUAGCUUUCUAAUUUUCUUCUCUCGGAUUAGAUAUUGGCAUGCUGUCCCAGCAAAAGAGUUUCUUUUUUUUUUAUGGUUCUCUCUUUUUAGAGAAGGGCUAGUAGCCAAGAAACAUUAGCGAGUGACUUCUUGUUUCGGAUUAUAUAUUUGAUAAUGAUGAGGCAGAUAAUAAUUUUGGUAUGCAGACCUCAACUUGUCUCACUUAAAAGCACUGACGAGUUGCUACUUCUCUCCCAUAACUUUCCAUCUUUCUAUCCUUGAGGUUGAACUGGUUCCUCAUGCAUGCAAUAGUUUUACAAAUGACAAAGAUUGACAGGCUUGUUUAUGUUAGUCAAACUGGAUAUCCAUAAUGAAAUCAAGGACUUGUUUAACUUCUCUGCUGGAGUUUUACAUAUGAACUUGUUCCUCAUGCUUGAGACUUAAUUUGGUUAACUUGUAUCCCAUAACUUUCCACCGUUUCUAUUCUUGAGUUGAACUCAUUCCUCAUGCAUGCAACAGUUUCACAUAUGACAAGGAUUGACAGGCUUGUUUAUAUUAGUCAAACUGGAUAUCCAUAAUGGAUUCAAGGACUUAAUUUGGUUAACUUUUCUGCAGGAGUUUUACAUACGAACUCGUUCCUCAUGCUUGCAUUAGUUUUACAUACUACAAAGAUUGACAAGCUUGUUUAUAUUAGUCAAAUUGAUAUCCAUAAUGAAUUUUCACGGACUUAAUUUGGUUCUAACUUUUCUGCAGAGGUCAAAAAUGAAUUAUCGUGCAUGGAAUCACCGCUGCUGGUUGGUUUCUUACAUGUCUGGAGAGCAGGUUAGUAAAAAAUUAAGAGGAACCUAUUUGUUGCUAUAUUUUUUCAUCUGCAUAAUUGCACUCUGCUAACUGGGUGGCAGUAGGCUGAAGUUAACACUAUCAUGUACAAUCACAGCCAAACUCUAUUCCUGGUUUUGGACUUAAGAAAAGAGGUGCAUCAUAUAUAAGCUUUGCAAUUGGAUUUUUAACCAAGUUUGUGGGAACUGGAUGCAGGUACUACAUGAAUUGAACAAGUCCCGAGAUUGGGCUGGCCUUCAUGUUGCUGAUAACUCGUGCUUUCACUACCGUACAGUAGGUUAUCUUUGUAUCUAUUAUUCAGAACUACCAAUUGUGCCUGUGAUUUUUUGUUAAGUGAUUGAUGCUGUUAGUAUGCCUCUCCUUAUAGUUCAGAAUUAUGUUGUCGGCCUCUCUAAAAUAGGACUUGGUACUUGCACAAUCAGCACAGUUGAACCCAGAAAUUUUAGAUUUAUCAGUUCUAGUUUUGCUUAGCCACUUGCUUUUAUAUGCAUAACUUGAUUGUUUUUAAUUAUUUUGGAAUACCUCAUAAACAAAGCAUGCUUUUGAAGUUUUGGUAAAAUUGGCAGCGGUUAUUGCUCAAGAUCUUAGAGGGUUAUGAUGACCAAAAUUCUGCUGCACCUUCAGCCACGAAUUUUCAUGAAUUGUGGAAGGUAUGGUCCUGCAUAUUGCUGAUCCUUCCAGAGUAUUCAAAUCCUCUCAUACUCGCUGUUAGGUGUUGCAUCUAUAGGAAACGAAGGAUAUACUUAAUUAGAAUCAUAUUAUCAUAUUUUCAGAAUUGGCGUGCAUGGUUUUCCUUUUUCUUCUAAUUUUGUUAUGUUUAGUUUCUUACAAUGUCUACAUCUUUACUUGGGUCUGAUCUUCAAAGGAUGUCCACAAGCAGACUCUAGAAUCUUGGAUCUCAAUUCCUUAGCUAGACCUGCUAUUAACUUGAGAAAUCAAAUGGGAGGAUUGUUAGUGAUACUGUUAACCUGCUGAGAAGGUCCUGAAGGCUCCAAGCAACUGGUAAUUCUGCAAUUAGUUGGUCCAGGAUCAUUGCUAAAUGGACAGAAGCCUAGAUUAUGAGUGAUAGGGUAAUAAUUGCUUAAGCAUCUGUGGCUAUAAGGCUUAUUGAAAUGUGAUUGAAAGAUAGCCUUGUGUACUGAGAACGUGUCUGAAUUUGCCAAAAUCAGAAGCAGCUGUGUCUUAUCUAGCAUAAAGCAAAAAAGACAAACUUGACUGUUGAUUCCCUCCCAGUGAGGAGAAUCUGUUAUCUGAAAAUUCUCACAGGAAGUAUAUAUGCUCAUGCACGGGAAUUGCAGUUCUAGACGAUAGGAUUGUGAUGUUAAGUCCCAAUGGACCCUUUGAAUUUUUGGUUAUAAUACUGAUACUUUGAUAGACAACCCUGAGGACCUAAAGAAUUGUCUAAGGAAGUUGUAAAAUUAAUUCAUACUUUGGUAAGCGGUGGUUAAAACAGUUAACGUGAAAGUUGCACUGUCAUUCAAGCAUUGCAAUUAGCAUUUAAAUAUUCUCUCACUUGUAUCUUUCAUGGAAAAGCCUGACGCUCAGGCUGUUGUUUAUAAUUAUAUGAUUGUUGAAUCUGAUAUGCAGAUAUUGGGCAUGAAGGAAUCUUUGGAAAGUUUGUUUAUUGCGCAGGCAAAUACUAUUAUCACUAUAGCCUGCACCAAAGAUGUCCAAAAAUUUCUUAGGAAAAAGUUCUUUGAGCAUUGCUUUAACCUUAACGACUGUACAGAUACUGGAAUUCUAAAACAAAUAUGGAUCAAAGAAAUAAACUAUAGUUCAGUUGUCAUUCAUGUAAAAACCUAAUUUGGCCUAAUGAUGUACUUUAUGCAGCUGAUUGUCAUGUUUUUAUGAAAAUUCCUCAUGCUUCAUCAACUUAUAAGUUUUGUUUGUGACAAAUGCUUUGUUACAGAAGGAACUUGAUUGGGUUGCUACAUUGAUAAAGUGCUACGUGGGAAGAGAGGUAUGGCCUGACUAAGAUACACCAGGAUCUCCACUAUGCUGCACUUACUUCACUAUUGAUUUGGAAAAUGGCUUCCAGAAAGAUAUUAGAAAGUUUGGAUUACCUUCCACACUUAAAGCUUUAGCUUUGUUGGUCCAUCAGAAAUUUCCUGGCUGUAAUGGAUUCUAAAUCCUAGACUUGAAUUUAUUUGGCUAAUGGUCCUGGAUCAGGAGGGAAAGUACAUCAAAAACUUUAUGGUUAGAUGUGGGCAUAUAUCUCUGUCUUUGAUGGGGCACUUCAGAAAACUGGAUGGAGGCAUUGAAGUCAAUUUCAGCAGCUUGACCUGGCCUUAUUCUUGUUCCAAGUGCAGGAUUCUGUCUAGGUCUAAUUUAUCGUUUAUGGUUCUUACUUUUGACAGAAGGCUGGAUCUGAUCGUGGGUCUUCCAUUUCUUGACAUCUCAUGAUUAAUAUCUUCUGCAUUCAGACAGUUCAACCAUAUAAAUGACUUCAUGCCUGGAUUACAGAUUUCUUGUCAAUCACUUGGAUCCAAUAUACGACUUGAAUGAAUACUUGUUGUCCUUAUAAUUCACAGCAUUUUAAAGCAACUGAUGAUUAUUUUGUUACUUUUGAUUUGCAGGCUUUAUGGCUCUAUCGCCGCUUUCUAUCAUUGACUUGGAUUAAGCAUUUUACAACUCAAGUUCACAGCAAUUCUUUUGGUUCCUGUCCCAAAAAUAUAAUGAAUGUCGAAGUAUUUAUGAGUAAUGAGCUACAAUUGUGUCAUUACUGCUCAAGUAUUCCUGAUAAUGACUUUGAGGACUAUCAAGCACAAGCAACCUUUUCUGCUACUUAUAUCAUGUGGAUUACAAGGGUGCGUAAACCUUUAUGUUAUGAAUAUUCAGAUUUCACAUCCUAAUCUAUCCUGUGAGAUUCUCACCUUUCAUCGGGGACUUUUGUAUGUGCUCAGCAAGUUGGUGGCUCUUUGCAAGUAGAGCUUCGAAAGAAGCUGGAAGCAAAUGGAUUGAAGACACUGGUAAACAAUGUCUGCCCAGAGAAGUCCUUCCUGUGGAAUACUUUCAGCGAAAGCAUCUAAUAACAGCUUUGGAGUUUUAAAAGGGUAAAUUUGGGUAUAUUUUAGGUGGUUGGUUGUUUUUGGAUCAUAUGCCAAAUCAGUCUUGAACUUGCUCUUCUUUGACCGUAUGUUGUACUCUUUCUUCGGGUUGCAAAAUGGGUGCUGCUGAAAACAUGAUGUCCAUCAUUUUGCUGGAUGCAAUCUGAUCUUUGUAGACACCAGUUUCUUUGGCCUGUUUAGUGGCUUUCAUACAGCCUUUUGAGUUUCUUCAAGUCAUCUGCGGCGUGUAUUCUUGUUAUCAUUAGAUUGUAAUUUUAAUCUCUGUAUAUCAAUUUCUGCUUCGUCUACCCUCUAUUGCAUACACAAACAAGAAGCCUCCUCAUUCGCAAACUCGAAACGCUGCAAAUUGCUCCAGGCAGGCUAGCAUAGUACCUGCUUUUGGGCGCAAGGACUUGCAAGGUUGAUCAUUCUUAGCUGCGAUCCAUGUAUAGAACUUACAGAAACAAUAUCUACCAAUUCAUAUAACCCAGAUUGGUAAAGAUAGCACGCAAGUACAUUUCCCUUUAUUGUUAUGUAUCAUUGGAACUUAAUCCAUCCGCCGUUGCGAAAUGGUCGGCCGGUAUUUUGGCCUUGACAACUCUUGGCAUGCCUUCGUCUAAGUUUAUUUUUUCUGCCUCAAAUCUGUCUGCAUUUGUUUGGGCUGUGGUUAAACCCUCUGCUUAUAAUGUUGCACUUCAUCAACAAGAGGGAAUGUCUCCUGCAAAACAAAAAAUAAAAGUAAACUUUUAACGCAUUCGCUAGCUUUUUUAUCCCCUUUCUUUUUCUGAUGUAAAUGAUUUUCAAUACAGUGCCACGUCCAUAAGCUCUGCCAAAAAUGUUAAUCCAAAUGAAUCACGGCAAGAAUUAUCUGCUCUACCAAGUAUGAUGGAGUGAUGCAUGUUAUAUUGCAAAACGGAUUCCAAUAAUUUGGUCGAAAAUCCGUUUUCUUAUUUUAAUUUUAAAAUAGAGAACCUCAAAUGUGUAAAAGGUACUUGCGACCCGACCCAUUACCACAUUUUCGAACCGUCUAUUGCCUUAUCUAAAAUAGUUGAGAUGGCUGGUAUGAUAUCCACUGGGAAUCCAAAACUGGAUUUCCAGGGAACGGACAACAGAACUCCACAAGACCACCUGUCAACUUCCAGGUUCUGAAGCCUUCAUUCAGCUUUACGGAAAAUACAGGUACCUUUUCAGUUCUCGGCAUGUCUAUGCAUCUCUAGAUGAUGGUUUAUCAGCAUUAGGACAUGACAAAUCUCAAUAACCCGAUGGCCACAACUUUUUCUUCCGAAUUGCUCCCUCAGUUAUUUCCCUAUGUUACACAAGCAAAACUCACUUCAAAUUGUCACAACAUAUUUGUGGUGAGGUGCAGAGGCCACAUACCUAAUGAGAGCAAGUCUAGAAGUCCACAAAAAGUUAUGGUUUCUACAGAAGCUAGAUCAACACAAUUGCAGCCUCAUGAUUCUACUGAGCCCAACUUUUUAAAACUGCUCAGCAGAUCCUGCAAAGCAGCCAAAUACAACGAAGCUCUGUAUUUUCUUGAAUGCAUGGUGAAUAGGGGUCUGAAACCAGAUGUCAUUCUUUGUACGAAGCUCAUUAAAGGACUUUUUAGUUUGAAGAAUGCGGAAAAAGCAGUAAGGGUCAUGCAUAUUCUGGAGCAGUAUGGUGAACCAGAUGUGUUUGUUUAUAAUGCUGUCAUUAGUGGCUUUUGUAAAGUGAACAAGACUAAUUCAGCAAAUGAAGUAUUAAGUAGGAUGAGGGUUAGGGGCUUUUCAGCUGAUGUGGUUACUUACAAUAUAAUGAUAGGGAGCCUGUGCAAUAGAGGGAAGCUAGGACUAGCUCUUAAAGUUUUUGAUCAGUUACUACAAGAUAAUUGUAAGCCUACGGUGGUCACAUACACAAUAUUAAUAGAAGCAACUGCCCUUGAAGGCGGCAUUCAUGAAGCGAUGAAGCUUUUGGAUGAGAUGUUGCGCAAAGGACUUCAACCUGACAUGUAUACUUAUAAUGCGAUCAUCAGGGGAAUGUGUAGAGGAGGGCUGAUUGAUCAAGCAUUUCAUUUUGUAAGGAGCUUGCCAGCAAAGGGCUGCAAACCAGAUGUAAUCUCGUACAACGUUUUGUUGAGGGCAUUAUUGAAUCAAGGGAAAUGGAAGGAUGGGGAGAAGCUGGUGGCUGAGAUGUUUUCAAGAGAUUGCGAACCCAAUGUGGUUACCUACAGCAUCCUGAUUAGUUGCCUGUGCCGAGAUGGAAAAUUGGACGAGUCACUUAACUUGCUGAGGGUCAUGAAAGACAAGGGUCUAAAUCCUGACACGUACACGUAUGAUCCGUUGAUUUCUGCAUUCUGCAGAGAAGGAAGGACGGAUUUGGCACUUGAAUUCAUGGAUUAUAUGAUUUGCAAUGGUUGCCUACCUGAUAUAGUGAACUACAACACUAUACUAUCUGCCAUGUGCAAGAAUGGAAAUGCUAAUCAGGCCUUGGAACUAUUUGGAGAUCUUCCACAAAUGGGUUGUCCUCCCGAUGUGAGCACUUACAACACCCUAUUGAGUGCAUUAUGGAACAUAGGAGAUAGAGCUAAGGCCUUGAGAUUGCUUUCUGAGAUGAUUGACAAAGGAACUGACCCUGAUGAAAUUACAUUCAAUUCACUUAUAUCAUGUUUCUGCAGAGAUGGAAUGGUGGAUGAAGCUAUCUGCUUGUUAACAGAUAUGGAAAGCAGUGGCUUCCCACCAACAGUAAUUACUUACAAUAUUGUACUUCUUGGAUUAUGCAAAGCUCACAGGAUAGAUGAUGCAAUUGAAGUGCUAGAGCAAAUGAUUCAAAAGGGCUGCCGCCCAAAUGAAACCACAUACAUUCUACUAAUUGAAGGAAUUGGCUUUGCAGGGUGGCAAGCUGUGGCUAUGGAGACAGCAAACUCUCUUCUGAAAAAGAACGCUAUCACAAAAGAAGCGUUCAAACGUUUGAAUAGAAUCUUUCCUAAGCUUGAUGAAGAUCUAUCUCUCGCAAAGAAGUAGGUUGGUGUGAUCUGUUGGUCGCUGGAUUUCGUCUUUGGAAUGUGUCCAUAAAAAUCUUGUAUUGCAUCAAGCGAGAAAAUCUAGUUUCUUGUAUGCUUCCUCUCUGUCACGAGGCAAUAAUUGUUAACACCAUUUUUAAGUGCGAGAUGUCUGUCCAAUUACUUUUCCACGAAGGAACUGACAACACCAUUGUUUCUAGGCACCCGCCCAAGGAAAUCUUCCUGUGUUACAUUCUGUAGAUGGCGCUUAAGAAAAGUGAUAGAAGAUUACAGUCAGUUUCACCCGAAAAUGCAGCUCAGGCCAACUUAUUUUAACUUCGUGUUUGAGGCAACCUCUGAACAUAUAGAGUCUGUGAAAACAUGUUUAUGCUGGCUGCCGAUCAUAUUUGCGUUGUAGUGUUGCACAAUGUGAUUGCACCAGAAGGCAGAAGCACCCUUAUCUGCAGUACUCUCAAAGAUCCAAUCAAUGCUUGUGCAAUCAACCAUCUGGUUCUUUCACUUUGCUCUUUUUCUUUUAAAAAAUUCCAUUUGGUUCAAUGUUUGUUUCCAAUUUUCUGUACCAGUUAAGCACAAAAAUUAGCAUGAUCCAAUCGAACUGAGUGAUUUAGGAUGCACCAAUUAAUUCUUAUAUUCACUAAUUGAAGAUUAGGCAAAUAUGUACCUAUUCUUGUUAUCUUGAACCGUUUAGUUCAAUGCAGUUGUACCACUUUACAAGCUUCCAAUCAUUUUACAUCCUAGAAGUAAUGCAUCAUCCAGCACGUACCACUGCUCCACCCUUGGCUGUCUUCUUCUUCAGCAUGCUCAAAUAUCAUUUUGAUAUAUGUUUUACUCCGCCAAUCCAUGCAAUCUUCAUUUAUUUAUUCUGUGCUCGAUCUUUGCUUGAGGAAAAAGUCGUCAUUUGCUGCAUCCACUUUACAAAACAAGGCAAAAAUGACACUGCAAAAAAACAUGUUUACAUAGAAUAAACCAAGGAAACUUUCUAGUCAAGGAAUCUGGCCAGUCAAAUCAUUAAAUCAAAACACCAAAAACAAGUUACACAAAUAAAAAUAACUCAAAAAACAUCUCAUUCAUACGAUCUAUUAAAUAUUUCAAAAAAUAUUUAUAAUAAAAGUUUUUCAUAUCCACUGCUAUAGUAAAAUUUUUCAAAAACACCAUCCAAAAACAGCUAAUUCAAACGGAGCCGUAUCUCUCCUAUCUGUGUAGCUGGUACACGUAAGCUGAUAAUUGGUUCUGAAGCCAAAAUUGUAAGAAACUCUAAAUAUUGCUGGGUCAAAUGAGGCAACUACAAUUAUUCUAGCUGAAAUUUUGGAUCAGCUUUAGGCAAUGAGGUGGCAUUUUAGUAACAGCUUAUUCCCCAACUCCUAGCCACACUGACAUCUUGCUUUGGCCAUGGGCUUAGUUAGCUCACAAUGCGAAGUCAAUUAGGCAAUCACAGCAAUGCUCGCCAGUCAUACAGUUCCGUGAUGUGUUAGCUAGGCAAAGAAACCGUUGGUACUUUACAUUGUAAAGCUCUUAGUUAUUAAACUAUCUAGUCUUGUAGUAACAUACAUUCCGCCAAGGAUUUUCACCAUGAUGCCAUCCUUCAAACUCCUGUCCCAUGUUGAAGUUCUAUCAUUAAAUAGCUUUGGAGUGAAUUUGGUUUCUAGAUCAACUCUCAAGGAUUAUGUUAAAUGAGCGGGUACUAAAACAACGAGAUUCCAAGCAGCCUGUGGCUGACAUGCAUGCAACAUUGGCUUGAUCAACAAAACUUAAAUGUCUCAUUUAUAGAAAUGGUUAAACCAACAUCCACGCGAGCACUAUGUUCAGGAAUUCAGUAAAAAGACUUGCAUUGAACAGAAGAUUAAAGGCAAUAUAUGUUAGAUACAGAGAAUUACAAUCCAUAAAGGAAAUGGACACAGCUCUAAUUCUAAAAAGUUUAAGCAUGGCAAGAUCAGCAAAAUUUUGAUUCCCAAGGCCCUUAUAGAAAUCAGUUCCACAAGAAGCGCAACCAAAAUAUGGAAAAUCUUUAACCCUCAUCUCAUGUUGUAUCCACGUAUUGCAUUUUGAAGGCCUUAUGGUCCUUCAUAAACCUCCCUAGCAUAAAAACCAUAAAAAAGCAUAAGCAGGGGAAGGAUUUUCAAGUCAUUAAAAUUCAACAUCUUGCAGCUUAAGUAUUCAGAGAGGAAUGACAGGAGCAACAAAGUGAAGAAAAACAAAUGAAAGAAUGAAAAAUCAAAUUUAGGAAACCAGAAUCAGGAUAAAUACAAAAACAAUGUUACAGAAAAAUACCAAGAGUUGUUGGGACAGUAUCUCCUGAUUGUAACAAACAAAAUCACAGAUUUCCUUUGCAUUGAAAAUUUUGAAAAUACUCACAAACUCAAUUAAAAGCAACAGCAGUUUAUAGUAAACAGCAUACAAGGCAUAUCAAGGAUCAGAUGCUCACCGUUAAUUGUUUGUAAGAAUAACAAAACCCUUUUGGAGUAAAUUCCUCGACAACUUGAUGUGAAUACUGUGACUCUGAGAUACAACAUGCCAGUGAUGAACCCAAUCAGGCAUAUGCUUGCUUUAGCGAAUCAGAGUUCUAUACCCUGAGGACCUUCCUUUCCCGCAAUUUCUGCCUCAACAUUUCAGCUUCUUCAAUUAGACCAGUGGCAGCUACUCCUUCAAUAAUGCUGGAAUAAAGAGUAGCAUGAUGCUUGCGUUUAUUUGACAUCAUCAUUUCAAGAACUUGUAUAGCUGUGUCAACUUUCUUUUUCUUACAUAGUCUGUGUAUAAUAAAUCUGUAACAAUUAUCUCUGAUCCUGUGUUUGAUAUUUCCCAUAACCUUUAAUAGUUCCACAGCCUCUUCAAGUAGAUCUGCCCUACAGAAACCCCAAAUCAGACAUCGAUAUGUAAUGUCAUCAGGAACAAUUCCCUGCUCUAUCAUAUGACCAUACAGUUCCAUGGCUUUUUCCAUCAAACCUUUCUUUGCCAACCCAUCAAUCAUGAUAUUGAAAGUAAUCAAACUAGGAGAAGUUGUGGUUUGGACUAAGCAAUAUAAAACUUGGAUAGCUUCAUCUAACAUUUCCUCUCUGAAAAGAGCACGUAUAAGGGUGUUAUAUGUGAUUAUAUCUGGAGAACAGUCCUUGGAAACCAUCUGAUCCAAAAAGUCUAUAGCAUGAUCGAGAAGCCCAUGCUUGCACAAACCAUUAAUCAGGAUAUUGUAAGUGAUUAAAGUAGGAGGGUGUGAUGUAUCAUUCAUGAGCAUGAGGAUUUCAUCAACUUCAACCCAACGCCCAUUGGAGCAAAGAGAAUGGAGAAGAGUAUUGUAUGUUACAGCAUUGGGCUCCAUUCCACGUGAUAAAAGAUUAUAAAUCACUAAAGCUGCAUCACCAAAGUUUCCUUGUUUACAAGUAAAACUUAUCAUAGAAUUGUAGGUAACAAGGUCCGGGUAACAUCCCUCGACAGCUAAAUCUUCCAUUACUUCUAUUGCUCUUACAACCCCACAGUACUUGCAGACUUGCUCAAUAAGGACCGUAUAAGUGAUGAGAUAAGGAGGACAUCCCCUUCUGAGUUGUUCCUUCCAAAACUGAAUGGCCUGAUCAAACCUACCACAAUCAAACAUGGCACGUACUAAUGUAUUGUAAGUAAUAACAUCUGGACAGCAACCACUCAUGCUCAUGUCUGCCAAGACAUCAAGAGCAGAUUUUAAUUGUCCCUUCCUACACAUACCACCAAUUAACAUGUUAUAUGUAAUAAUAUCUGGAAUCCCACCUGACAUCACCAUGAGUUCCAGGACCUUGACAGCUUUAUCUAGGCGAUCAAGAUUGACAAGACCCCUGAUCAAGUUUAUACAGGAAGAGAAAUUUGGAAUUUGGUUCCGACGCGCCAUCAGUUCAACUAAUUUUGAUGCAUCAAGCAAUCUCCCAUAGCCACAAAGGUUUUGAAGGAUUUCAUUGUUAGAUUUCUCAUCAUUCUCUAUAAGAGGUCCAUCAAAAGAAACCUUCAAAGAUUUGAGAUACUUCUUUGAGGAGCUCAUCUCAUGAUUGUCCAUUUUCUCAUUACUUUGGUUGCUAGUAGCAACCCUAUCUACACAAACCCCUAGCAGCUGGCUUCUACAUAUAAUAUCAGAAGCACUUCUUCUUGAACCAACAAAUCUGACCCACUGCAGAUGUGAUCGAGUCUUGCAAGUACACUUGACCGAAUAGCUAAUAUUUCUGAUUGGAAAACAAUGGUUUGUGCCAGAGAUGAUGUCUUUUUGGCUUAUUACUGAAUGCGACCCUUGCAGAUUGGGAAACUCAACCAUAGAUUUUUGUGGUACUAGCGAGUUAGCCAUUUCUUUCCACUAGACUGAUGCUAAAAAGAAAGUCAAUGAUGAGAUAUAUGCCAUUAACUUGACAAUCAGAAACCUUUCUUCAGGCCAAAACAGGCAAGCACAACCCUUUUCUUAUGAGCCGAGAUAUGCACUAAUUCAAACAACGAGAAGUAGCUCAGAAUAUGUUGCCUUUCCUCCAACUUAGAUCAAUACAACAAGCAGAUUCUAGGCUUUCUUUGACCUUUCCAGCCGAUUAGAAACCAAAAGAACAGGAAUGGACAUUAGAGUAGCAGAAAUUCCACAGCUUCUGAAAGCAAAAAAAAUUAAUUCAAAAGUUUGAGUUCCAACCAGUUUCAAGAUUCUAUAAAUUCCAAUGUAAAUAUUUGGAAGAUGCUUAAAAAGAAUCUGAAGGAAGAGCACAUGCAAUGAGAACUCUGCAACUUACCUGCGUACCAGUUUAAAAAUCUAAGUCAUACAAUUCAUGGUUUCUAAAUAGAGGGAAGUUUGGGCCAAAUUUACAAAAGCUCAUAUGUAAUGCAAAGAAACACUAGAAAAAUAUGCAAUAAUUGUUCACAGUGUACAGACGCGUCUUGAAGUGUACAAGAGUUUUUCAAAUUGUAAAGUGGCGAGAACUAAACUGGAUGGCUGAUUAUCAGAAAAGUUGAGGCAUCACAACCCCAUUGGCCUGGAAUUUUGCCACAAUUAGCUAAGAAAAAUGCCAGGACCGCAAUGUAAAAGCAUCACAUGUUUCACAACAAGAUGAAGGACUCAAAAUUAACAGGCAAUAUGAAACACAGUGAGAGAAAAAUGCGGAGGAAAACAUGAACACAAGCAAAUAACUUAAACAACCAGAUAGAAAACAAAAGAGAAGAUGUCCUAGACGUAAAAGAAUACACUCUUCAUUAUGGUCUCUCAUGGACAAAGAGUGUUGAUUGUUGUUUACCACAAAGAGAAACGAAUUUGAAAAAUUCCCCUUUGAAAUAAGCAUUUUCUCACCUCCAUUAGCCAUACAGAAAUUAUGCAACUUGAGACAAGAUUUCAAUUGCCGUAACAGAAACUCAUGUUCUUUCUCAUACCUUUAAUAUCUACACGGCACUAAGUAUCGCAUGAUAACUAGUUAACAUAGCAGCUGCAGAAAUCACUGAACUCAUCAUGUUCAAGUCAACAAACUCUAAUACUUCAAAUUCAACUCAAAAUUCAGGAGAUAGAACAGAACCCGAUAAAUCGAAUGUAAACUUGCAGCCAUUUGAAGUGACAAACACUCUUUAUCCCGACAAAAAUGCUCCGGCAGGGAAAAGAGCAAUGGCUGAAAAACCGCCCACCCCACAAAAGAAUGGAGAGAAAGUCUCACACACAUCCAAAAGCAUUAACAAGAUUAGCUUCUUGCUUCAAAAAUGAAAACAAAUAUCUAAAAGAGACAGUUUGCAUUUGCACACAAACAACACAGGCCGGUGAACUAGAAAAAUGAAAGAAGAAAACCAAGAAAAAUCAAGAAAAAAAGACCUCAAACAUCACGUUACAGUUAAUAUAUUAAGAACGACCGAAGAAUAAAAUUCAUAGAGAAAAUCUCACCGGUAGGAGUAACUUUUUGUGCCAUAUACAGAAGUAUCGAACAGCGUAGAAAAGCGCUGCCUUUGGGCUUGUGCCCAAAAAGAGUCAGCAGAGGACGCUAAUUACUACACUAGGGUUGAAUUAGAUGAAUUUGCAUUUACUCCUUCUUUUCUAGUAAAUUUUCUAAAUAUGCCCACAAGUCUUUCAAUUGCACAUAAUGCCCUUAUUCUUUUAACGCACUUUAAAAGAGCCUCCAAAACAAAAUAACAAUAAUAAUAAUAAUAAUAAUUAAUAAGACAGCAUAGGAUGGUGGAAGAAUCAAAAGUAAGGAUGCUAAUGUGGUUGGAUUGCAUUUUUCAUGAUUUUUCAUAGAAAAAAUACUGUAGCGAUUUGAUGUAUGUGAGGGAAAAAGGUAAUAGGGAAAUGUGAUCACAGAAAAUAACGUAAUUUUUUGACGAAAAACAGCAAUUCAAACAAAGCUAGUUUGACUCACUGUUGCUCAAAAUUAGUUCAACAAAUUCAAGAUUGAAUAAUUUCAAAACAUUUUGAAUAAUUCUCAAUCUCGAUUUGAAUUUGGUUCAAUAAACAUUACAAUUAAACGAAUAAUUUGGUUCAAUGAGCAUUACAAAUUAAUCAAAUUUUCAGUUUAACGAACACGUUUUUAAGUACGAUUUCGUAAAAACGAGCUCCAAUCUAUGAAUUAAACACAAUUCAGUGAUCUACGGAAAACAAUCAACUAUAUAAUAUGUGUUGUAGGAAACUGCUAGGAAGGGCACACAAAUUGGGCAGGUUAAUAAGGAGGCUGCAAAUUUCGUGUUUUUCAUAUUUGAUGACAAAAUUGACCAAUGGGAGUACACACACAUUCUCAACAUGAUUCGGUACGUAAUCUAUUUCCUCGCGAGUCGCGAGUGUACGCUUUCCAUUUCUAAGGCAAGGUACGGACACUGGGAGGAAAAAAAAAAUUUAUAUACCACGGAAGAAUAUAUAUUAUUAUAUCUAAGGCCGCUAAAUACGAUUCGAGUGGUUUUGCUUAGUCUUCUUGGGUCCAAGAAGAAAGAUGAUGGCGUCGACGACUAUGGAGAGUGCGUUCCUCAAAAUUCCAUCUUUCGGAUUCGUAAACCCUAAUAUUGCUACUAGUAAACUUGUCAGUCGGAGCUCCGUUUCACUCCGCUUCGGGUUCCACUUUCGUUCCUGCGCCAUAUCCUCUGCUUCAGCAGCAGAACCUGCUUCC
RNAcentral lists this long non-coding RNA (38328 nucleotides) under Coffea arabica (coffee). RNAcentral's name for it is "long non-coding RNA (CARA_LNC000925)". The record is from RNAcentral. Lineage: Eukaryota; Viridiplantae; Streptophyta; Magnoliopsida; Gentianales; Rubiaceae.